This 482-nucleotide ribosomal RNA is filed under the name uncultured bacterium. Its description in RNAcentral is "partial 16S ribosomal RNA". It matches the Rfam family "Bacterial small subunit ribosomal RNA", at positions 30 to 507 of the family's 1533-position model. The record is from RNAcentral.
AUUGAACGCUGGCGGCAUGCUUUACACAUGCAAGUCGAACGGUAACAGCACUUCGGUGGCUGACGAGUGGCGAACGGGUGAGUAAUACAUCGGAACGUGCCUAGUAGUGGGGGAUAACUACUCGAAAGAGUAGCUAAUACCGCAUGAGAUCUAAGGAUGAAAGCAGGGGACCUUCGGGCCUUGCGCUACUAGAGCGGCUGAUGGCAGAUUAGGUAGUUGGCGGGAUAAAAGCUUACCAAGCCGACGAUCUGUAGCUGGUCUGAGAGGACGACCAGCCACACUGGGACUGAGACACGGCCCAGACUCCUACGGGAGGCAGCAGUGGGGAAUUUUGGACAAUGGGCGCAAGCCUGAUCCAGCAAUGCCGCGUGCAGGAUGAAGGCCUUCGGGUUGUAAACUGCUUUUGUACGGAACGAAAAGCCCUCUUCUAAUACAGGAGGGUCAUGACGGUACCGUAAGAAUAAGCACCGGCUAACUACGUG